RNAcentral lists this non-coding RNA (27 nucleotides) under Rattus norvegicus (Norway rat). The record is from RNAcentral. Lineage: Eukaryota; Metazoa; Chordata; Mammalia; Rodentia; Muridae.
UCUGUGGGUGACAAACGUGCCUCGGGU